RNAcentral lists this long non-coding RNA (1440 nucleotides) under Citrus x clementina. Its description in RNAcentral is "Citrus clementina (C. clementina) long non-coding RNA (CCLE_LNC000254)". The record is from RNAcentral. Lineage: Eukaryota; Viridiplantae; Streptophyta; Magnoliopsida; Sapindales; Rutaceae.
GAAAUCUAAUUAAAAAUAAUGCAGAUCUAGAUAUUCGAUCUUCUGGAUUCACUUGCAUCUAGAUCCAAACAGAUCUUAGAUUUGAGGUUCCGGAUCAACAUUUUGUAAAAUACAGAUACGUAUUUUUUCAAAAUCGGAUCUAAAUCUUUCGGAUCUUAGCGGAUGCGGGUUGGACCCUGAUUUUUUUGCCAUCCCUAACUUAAAAGAUCUCUUAUUAGAUAAUAACUCCAAUUUAGAUCAUGUAAAGAUUAACUUAUUGACAAGUUAUGCACAUAAAACAACAAAAACACUUGUGACGUAAAUUACAUAAACUUUGACAGGCUAUAUAUUUGUAUCGAAAUCUUAUAAAUAAUGAAAAAGAUUUGCAUACUAUAAAAUAAAUCUAAAAAUUAUUAAAAAAAGAUAAAACAAUACUUAUUUUCUUAUUCAAUUUUUUUAAUUUUUUUGUUAUUUAAAAAAUUGGUUGGUGAAUCAAUGUAUUUCUUUUCAUAGUUGGAUAAAAAAAUUAUACAUCAAUGACAUAUUUUUUUUGUUACGUUUAUGCUUAAUUUUGAGAAACCAAAACCACAAUUAGAGAUUGCGUCUUCAAUCAAUUAUCCAGAAAAUGAAAAUGAUGGAUUUUGUAGUUCCACGCAUCAGUUAAGGAGGUCAAUGAAGUCAACACUCAAAAGUUUUUCCACAAAGAUUAAUGGACAAAAUUGACCUUUGGAUUUUUGGAUCUUGAGCGAGUAACCAACUUAUUUACUGGGCAUUAUCUCUCCGAAGAUAAUGUCGGUGUCAGUAAAUAGAAAAGUCGAUCAAUUCCAAAUCAAAGCAACAAACUGUGCUUUUCAAUACCCAUUUGUCAUAAUAAUGUGCACUUUGAUGAAGAGGGUGGCAAUAGUAUUGUUUUGUCAAAUCAGCAAUUGAAUUUAUAUGCUUCGUUUAGCUUCAACGGAAAUCUACAAAGAAUAUGAACCGUCACGAUAUUGCAAAAUGCCAACACAUCAAUCCUAAAAAUGUAAUGCACGACGAUUGACGAAGGAAAAAAAGAAAAAAGGAUGGCGUCUUUGAUCAGUUAAGGAGGUCAAAAGAGGCAAGUCUCAAAGUUUUUCCACAAAGAUUAAUGGGCAAAAUUGACCUCUGCUGACUAACAAAAUUGUUUGCUGGCCACUUGUUUCUCUGUGUUAGUAAAUAGAAAAAUCAAAGCAACAGUUAGUGCCUUCCUAUACCCUUUGGUUACGUUUGGCACAUAAUUGGAUUGAUAUGAUUAUUAAGAUUGGACUGGAUUAAGAUGGAUUAUAUUAUAUUUUGUAUUAUGUUUGGUACAAUAUCGAAUUGGAUAAUGUUAAAUCAUAUUUAAAUAAAAAAUAUUUAUGAAUAUUUAAGAGUAAUAAUUAAAAUUAAUUUAAAGGUAAUUAACAAGAGCAUUAAAUAUGUAGUAAAUUAGUUAUUGGGUAG